CCUACGGGGGGCUGCAGUGGGGAAUAUUGGACAAUGGGGGCAACCCUGAUCCAGCCAUGCCGAGUGUGUGAAGAAGGCCCUCGGGUUGUAAAGCACUUUCAGUGAGGAAGAACGCCUGGUGGUUAAUACCCAUCAGGAAAGACAUCACUCACAGAAGAAGCACCGGCUAACUCCGUGCCAGCAGCCGCGGUAAUACGGAGGGUGCGAGCGUUAAUCGGAAUUACUGGGCGUAAAGCGCGCGUAGGUGGCUUGAUAAGCCGGUUGUGAAAGCCCCGGGCUCAACCUGGGAACGGCAUCCGGAACUGUCAAGCUAGAGUGCAGGAGAGGAAGGUAGAAUUCCCGGUGUAGCGGUGAAAUGCGUAGAGAUCGGGAGGAAUACCAGUGGCGAAGGCGGCCUUCUGGACUGACACUGACACUGAGGUGCGAAAGCGUGGGUAGCAAACAGGAUUAGAUACCCGUGUAGUG
Molecule: ribosomal RNA, 465 nt
Filed under: Vreelandella stevensii
Lineage: Bacteria; Pseudomonadati; Pseudomonadota; Gammaproteobacteria; Oceanospirillales; Halomonadaceae
Description: partial 16S ribosomal RNA
Rfam family: Bacterial small subunit ribosomal RNA
Source: RNAcentral